This 99-nucleotide transfer RNA is filed under the name Sphaerotilus microaerophilus. RNAcentral describes it as "Sphaerotilus sp. FB-5 tRNA-Leu". The record is from RNAcentral. Lineage: Bacteria; Pseudomonadati; Pseudomonadota; Betaproteobacteria; Burkholderiales; Sphaerotilaceae.
CGAUAUCGUCCGCCGCGGGCAGGCGCUUCAGGUCCUUCAGGUGGAUCUGCUCGUCGCGGCUGAUGAUCACGUCCGGGUUCAGCAGCCCGGCGGGGUCGA